RNAcentral lists this ribosomal RNA (1461 nucleotides) under Triticum aestivum (bread wheat). RNAcentral's name for it is "partial small subunit ribosomal RNA". The record is from RNAcentral. Lineage: Eukaryota; Viridiplantae; Streptophyta; Magnoliopsida; Poales; Poaceae.
AUGGCGUCGUCGCCGGAGGGCGCAGCGGUGGUGAAUGCGUACAAGAAGGCGCUCGCCACUGCGGCCUCGGUGAGCGCGUACGCCAUGCUGGCGCGCGGCAUGGCGCGGGAGCUCCUCCCCGACGAGCUGCGCGCCGCGGUGCGCUGGGGCGCCGCGUUCGUGCGCUCCCGCUUCAGCGCCCCCGACAAGGAGCGCCACACCAUCGUCAUCCGGCGCGUGCUCGGCGGCGGGUACAACGAGGACGACCUGUUCGACGCGGCGCUCGCGUACCUGGCCACCAAGAUCAACCCGCAGUCCAUGAGCCGGCUCUGCCUCGCGCGCACCCGCAAGAGGGAGCCCGACGGGAGCGGCAGCUGCACCACGCUCCUGAGCAUGGAGAACGGGAGCUCCACCACCGUAUUCCAAGGCGUGGAGUUCCGGUGGACGUCCAUCGAGAGCGGCGGCAACGACGGCAACAAUAGGGGCAAGGAAUGCCUGGAGCUCAGCUUUGACGCGGAGCACACGGAGACCGCGCUCCACAAGUACGUGCCCUUCAUUACCUCCACGGCGGAGGAGCUGCGGUUGCGAGACCGCGCGCUCAAGAUCUUCCUCAACCAGGGCUCGAGUUGGAAAGGCAUCAACCACCACCACCCGGCCACGUUCGACACGCUCGCCAUGGACCCGUCCGUCAAGCAGGCCGUGAUUGACGACCUCGACCGCUUCCUGAAGCGGAAGGACUACUACCGGCGGAUCGGCAAGGCGUGGAAGCGCGGCUACCUUCUCUACGGCCCACCUGGAACCGGCAAGUCCAGCCUGGUCGCCGCCAUGGCCAACUACCUCCGGUUCAACCUCUACGACCUUGACCUCUCGGGGGUGUACGAUAACUCGUGCCUGCAGCGGCUGCUCAUCGACAUGUCCAACAAGUCCAUCCUCGUCAUCGAGGACAUUGACUGCAGCUUUGACACCAUGUCCAGGGAAGACCGCAAGGUAUCCCAUGCGACGACCUACACAGACGACGACGACGACGACGACGACGACGAGUACGACGACGCCCGAGCACGAGGAUACCCCCCGGAGCGCGAGCGCAAGAUAACGCUGUCAGGGCUGCUCAACUUCAUCGACGGCCUGUGGUCCACAUGCGGCGAGGAGCGCGUCAUCGUCUUCACCACCAACUACAAGGACCGCCUCGACCGGGCGCUGCUACGGCCGGGCCGCAUGGACAUGCACGUCUACAUGGGCCACUGUGGCUGGGAGGCGUUCAGGACGCUGGCCCGGAACUACCACCCGGUCGAGGUCCACGCGCUGUUCCCGGAGAUUCGGGAACUGCUUUCCGUGGUGGAGGUGACACCGGCGGAGGUGUCCGAGAUGCUGCUGCGGAGUGAGGACGUCGACGUUGCGCUACGGGUGCUUAUCGAAUUCCUCCAACAAAGAAGAUGCAAAACAAAUGAGGUAAAUGAGAAGAACGGCCGCAUAGCAGGAUAG